AGUGAACGCUGGCGGUAGGCCUAACACAUGCAAGUCGAACGGCAGCACAGUAUGCGCUUGCUCUCACGGGUGGCGACUGACGGAUGGGUGAGGAAUACAGCGUAAUCUACUUUUUCGUGGGCGAUAACGUAGGGCAACUGACGCUAAUACCUCAUACGACUAACGAGUGAAAGCAGGUGUUCUUCGGACCUUUCCAGCUUGCAUGAGUCGAUGUCGGAUUAGUUAGUUGGAGGGGUAAAGGCACACCAAGGCGACGAUCCGUAGGUGGUCUGAGAGGAUGAUCAGCCACACUGGAAGUGAGACACGGCACAGACUCCCACGGGAGGCAGGAGUGGGGAAUAUUGGACAAUGGGCGAGAGCGUGAGAGAGCCACACCGUGUGGGUGAAGAAGGCUUUGGGGUUGUAAAGCCCUUUUGUGGGGAGAGAAAAGGAGAAGGUUGAUAGCUCGUUGAUCGGAGGGUACCAAAAGGAUAAGCACCGCCAAACUUCGU
This 491-nucleotide ribosomal RNA is filed under the name uncultured bacterium. RNAcentral's name for it is "partial 16S ribosomal RNA". It matches the Rfam family "Bacterial small subunit ribosomal RNA", at positions 29 to 506 of the family's 1533-position model. The record is from RNAcentral.